Daphnia carinata is the source of this 737-nucleotide long non-coding RNA. RefSeq lists it as uncharacterized. The transcript is spliced from 3 exons. Lineage: Eukaryota; Metazoa; Arthropoda; Branchiopoda; Diplostraca; Daphniidae. The record is from RefSeq and is a predicted model, not a curated record.
GUCAGUAGUGAGCUAACCUCUGAUUGAGUGACAGUAUACAGUGACAAGAAUUCCCAAGGCGUAUUAAAGUUUUACGGUUAUAUCCUCUGGACUCAGAAAACCGAUUGGGACAUAGGACGCCAUUAUCUCCUUCGUUCCACGUGCGAGCUGCGUGAACUGUAUGCCUCUGGACUGACAGAUACAGAAUUUUGCCAAUCCAGAUCGAAUUGAAGAACCGUGCCGCAUUGCACACACGUUUUCAUAUUGCCAAGGAUAAGUGCAAGACGUUCGUUCUAAUCGCGCCGCACGAACCGCAAAGAAGAAAUAAAAAUGCUGGGAUUUGGAUACAUGCUUUUGGUGAUGCUCAUCGUGGCGACAAUCAGCAUUGCCGAGAAUUCUCGUACCCACGAAGGUCUCGUGCCAACCUCCGCACGCCAUCGUGUCCCAAUUGGACAAGAGGCCCUUGAUUUGAUCGCAGACUCUUGAGUGUUUUAGUACGUGAAAUGUUUUCAUUAUUUUUAAUGGACAAUUGCAUUCAUGUUUUCCCAUCUCCCUAUUAUACCCGUGCCAAAAGUUUUCCUUGUUUGCUUUUAAUAUCAAUUCGCUAUUUUAAUUUGACAUGAAAUUAUAUCUACAAUUCAGCAAAAACCUUUAUCAUAAGAGAUACUUAAAUGAUGAGUUGUGAAAAUUGACCUGCCUCAUGUGUUCCAAUUUACAGUAGUCCAUCAAUACAGAUUUUUUAUAUUCAACAACCAGAA